GUCCAGACUCCUACGGGAGGCAGCAGUGGGGGAUAUUGCACAAUGGGGGAAACCCUGAUGCAGCGACGCCGCGUGAGUGAAGAAGUAUUUCGGUAUGUAAAGCUCUAUCAGCAGGGAAGAUAAUGACGGUACCUGAGUAAGAAGCCCCGGCUAACUACGUGCCAGCAGCCGCGGUAAUACGUAGGGGGCAAGCGUUAUCCGGAUUUACUGGGUGUAAAGGGAGCGUAGACGGCAUGGCAAGUCUGAAGUGAAAGCCCGGGGCUCAACCGCGGGACUGCUUUGGAAACUGUUAAGCUGGAGUGCAGGAGAGGUAAGUGGAAUUCCUAGUGUAGCGGUGAAAUGCGUAGAUAUUAGGAGGAACACCAGUGGCGAAGGCGGCUUACUGGACUGUAACUGACGUUGAGGCUCGAAAGCGUGGGGAGCAAACAGGAUUAGAUACCCUAGUAA
Molecule: ribosomal RNA, 447 nt
Filed under: uncultured bacterium
Lineage: Bacteria
Description: bacterial SSU rRNA
Rfam family: Bacterial small subunit ribosomal RNA
Source: RNAcentral